Non-coding RNA from Ceratotherium simum simum (southern white rhinoceros), 101 nucleotides. Lineage: Eukaryota; Metazoa; Chordata; Mammalia; Perissodactyla; Rhinocerotidae. The record is from RefSeq and is a predicted model, not a curated record.
UAUGGUGUUAGAACGGGGCGGAGAGGCCUCGGCUCUGUUUUUGUCUGGGCAUCGGGAAACGGCAGAAGGAGCAAAGGCCACUGCUCCUGUGACGGCUACAC